Molecule: long non-coding RNA, 1099 nt
Filed under: Salvia miltiorrhiza (redroot sage)
Lineage: Eukaryota; Viridiplantae; Streptophyta; Magnoliopsida; Lamiales; Lamiaceae
Description: long non-coding RNA (SMIL_LNC006095)
Source: RNAcentral
GAAAAAUGAAGAGGAAAUAAUAGAAGUGGAGAAAAAUUCCAUGGUAUCCGUGUCCCUACCAAAGGAAAAAGAUCGAUCUCAGAAGUGAAUGAGACAGAGACUAGUCACUGCUCACUAAUCAGUAAUCUGUAGUCAUAUACAUAUAUCUCUCUUCAACACCGCCGCCACCAGCUUCUCCCAAUUAUCUCGCGACGACAUCAUCUCUCUUCAGUUUUCAAGUAAAUUAUUGCAUGGGAUUAUGCUAGAAAGAGCCAAAAUCAGUGUGAGAGUUUGAUGAAAUGGCUAGUCUCUUUCCCUUGGAUUUUAAAUUUCGCGGAACUUAGGUGAGUUGAAAAAGCGCGUUGCAAAGUCUAAUUCAACGCAGACGACUAAUCAGAAAGAUGACAACUUUAAAGGAAAAAUUUAGAGACUAAAUAUAUAAACAAUUUUGAAAAGCUACUCACUUUUGACGCUGCGUUUCCUCCUUUUUCCCAGCUGAGCUUUGGCAGCAAUAUCCAAGAAAUUUCAGUGUUUUGCACUUUUAAUUCCAUGUUAAUAAUGAUAAUGAUGUCAAAUCUGACAAAAAUCUACUGCGGAAUAAAGGUGAAAGAGAGAUGCCGUUACCGUUGUCGUCGUCUCGGGACAAUUGGGAGAGGUUGGUGGCGGCCGUGCUCAAGAGACAGCAGUAUUUGCAGCUCUGUUGUCAGUCCUCUAGGAGCCCUAGCAUCAGCACCAUAGAAUCUUCUCGAAUCUCUAGUUUCAGCGAAAGAAUUCUCAAGUAAGAGUCUGUUAAAUCUCGACUAAUUUAUUUAUAAAUGCAGCUUUAGAUUUCAACUGCUUGUUUGUUGAUUCUUUCGUUUCCGCAGUGACAUUCUGGAGCGUGUUUCUGUGGCUAACCACCGAGGUUUGUAAUUUCUUAACCUCAUUUCACAAUUUGAAUCUGUAUGCAAGGUCUAUCCAUAAACUGUAGAGAAAAAUCGAAGUUGUAUACAAUGGCAUUUUGAGGAGAUAUUUUGUGUGAUUUUUCUAAGGUCUAAUAACAGAAAAAGUAAGGAAUAUGAAAGUGAAUUGUGUUGUUUGGAUUUGGAUUUGACUUGAGUAUACACUUAAUUACAAGAAA